GCUGACUUUUGCCGAGGUGGUGAAGUUCAACGAGGACAAUGGAGCAACAGUGUUAUAUGAUGUGGAAACUGUAUCCACAUAUUCAUAUGCUGGAUCAUCAUGGAUUGGGUAUGAUGAUACCUUGUCUACCACCACUAAUAUUAGAUUUGCUCAAGCCCUUGGGCUUCGUGGGUAUUUCUUUUGGACCCUUAGCUAUGAUGAUGAGUGGAAAAUCUCAAUGCAAGCUUCAAGGGCAUGGCCUAUCGAUGAAUUAUAUUAAAGAUUGGGAGAUGGUAUAAUUCAUUAUAAAUUUAUAAUUGUUAUUUCUAUUUACAAGUGAUUAAAGACUUCAUGUAAGAAGGCUAGCUGACAAUUGAAGAGAAAAUGGAAUAGUUUCCAUAUGCAAGCCCGAUAGAUAUAUAGAAGCGAAAUGUGAUGAAUACUAGCAAAAAGAAAUUAUAUGUGAAAGGAGUAAAAUAAUGAGGGUGGUGUGUGGUAGUUCAGCGGUUGUAAAGAUGUUAGAGCCUAUAUAUAUUAUAA
RNAcentral lists this unclassified non-coding RNA (519 nucleotides) under Hevea brasiliensis (rubber tree). Lineage: Eukaryota; Viridiplantae; Streptophyta; Magnoliopsida; Malpighiales; Euphorbiaceae. The record is from RNAcentral.